CCUGACUCCACAUACACUUCCCUCACUGCCACACCAGACCGCAGAAGAUCAGUGUAGUCUGUGUCCUACAUCACCUUUCUCAGCAUGGCCAGAUCCAGCUCAGCCCAGAACACCUGUAACUGGAUUAUGGCUGUCCUCACGUUGUGGUCUAUGAUCUCUCUGAUCGUCAUUGUGGUUUGGGUCACCUGGCCUCCGUUGGCUAGCCUUACACAAUGCAGAGCAGCACAUCAGGCCUUAAUUGAAAAGAUGGAGGGAGCUAAAGUGAUAAAGGAAAAGGAGCAAGAUGGCUUGAAAUCCACCCUGGAGCUGAGCUCUAAAAACCAGACCAGACUGCAAGAAGAGCUGGAAAGUAUUCUAGAGAGCCAGAGGGAAACCAACGCAUCUCUAACAGAGAGUCUGCAACUGCAAAUGAUCCUAAAGGAAAAUGUAACAGCUUUGGAAAAUCAAAGACUCAGGCACCACAGUGAACACGCAAGACUUUUUUCUGAGCUGGCUCAACAAGAGGCUCUUAUUGAGACUCUGUGGAUGAAUCUGACCAGUGAAUCGCAUCAUUUGGAUUCAUGUGCAGCUUUACGGAAUGCCGCAAACAGCCAGCAGGAGGCAGCAGAGAGUCAGAGGAAAGCCUGUGAAUCCAAAACAAAUUAUCUUGUCAAGAAAGUAGAGAACUGUAAGGUUAAUGGGUGAGGAACCGAAGACGUUCAAAACAACUGAAGAAAACUGACAACGACCACGAACAACUAUAGCAUAGCCUAAUAUUAUAUGGAAAGUGCUAUAAAGUAUACUAAUCUCCUUCAUAAUGAGAGAUUCUGAGAUAUUUUUAUGGUAGUGUGAAAUAAAUAAUGUUAUAAUAGUAGUAGUAGUAGGUUAGUAUUGUUGUUGUUGUGUGAAUAAAGUUGGGACAUGAAAAUAUUUGACUGAUUUUUUUAAAAGAUGUAUUUUUUAUG
Molecule: long non-coding RNA, 944 nt
Organism: Ctenopharyngodon idella (grass carp)
Lineage: Eukaryota; Metazoa; Chordata; Actinopteri; Cypriniformes; Xenocyprididae
Exons: 4
Source: RefSeq, a predicted model, not a curated record